CUACGUGCCAGCAGCCGCGGUAAUACGGAAGGUCCAGGCGUUAUCCGGAUUUAUUGGGUUUAAAGGGAGCGUAGGCUGGAGAUUAAGUGUGUUGUGAAAUGUAGACGCUCAACGUYUGAAUUGCAGCGCAUACUGGUUUCCUUGAGUACGCACAACGUUGGCGGAAUUCGUCGUGUAGCGGUGAAAUGCUUAGAUAUGACGAAGAACUCCGAUUGCGAAGGCAGCUGACGGGAGCGCAACUGACGCUGAGGCUCGAAAGCGUGGGGAGCAAACAGGAUUAGAUACCCUGGUAGUCCGCACAGUAAACGAUGGAUGCCCGCUGUUAGCGCCUGGCGUUAGCGGCUAAGCGAAAGCAUUAAGCAUCCCACCUGGGGAGUACGCCGGCAACGGUGAAACUCAAAGGAAUUGACGGGGGCCCGCACAAGCGGAGGAACAUGUGGUUUAAUUCGAUGAUACGCGAGGAACCUUACCCGGGCUUGAAUUGCAGAGGAAUUAUUUAGAGAUA
Molecule: ribosomal RNA, 505 nt
Filed under: uncultured bacterium
Lineage: Bacteria
Description: bacterial SSU rRNA
Rfam family: Bacterial small subunit ribosomal RNA
Source: RNAcentral